This 933-nucleotide unclassified non-coding RNA is filed under the name Hevea brasiliensis (rubber tree). The record is from RNAcentral. Lineage: Eukaryota; Viridiplantae; Streptophyta; Magnoliopsida; Malpighiales; Euphorbiaceae.
CAAUGUUUCAGUUGCAUGGACCUACAUUGUAUGAAGCAAUCUGAUAAAAAUGAAGCCCUGACUGUCGUAUAACACAUGUAUGCAUGUGCACACGUGAAGAGAGACAGAGAUAAAGAAUGCUAGAAAUAUAUUUAGUUACAUCUGAAAAAUAUGGCAUAUGGAUUAUUGUAUUCUUUCACUAUUAUAAAAGGAUUUUCGGUCAUUAAAGUAAAGAAUUGAUCAUGAAAUCAUAAAACAACUUCACUGCUUAUAAUUCUCCUCUUUGUUGUCACAUUGCACAUAACAAACCUUGGAGUCAGCAAAAGAUAUUGGAGCAGGCAAAUGAUGCUCUUUUAUCCAUCAAUCCAGCCCCAACAAUAUAGACCAAGUCAAAGGUCAAAUAUUGUGCACCAGAAUGUUGAUAUAGCUGAAGAUGAAUAGGUAGAGAAAAACAGUCCUUUGUUCCUAAUUCAUUCCAACUUUUACAGUUCUUCUCAACUUAUACAUUUGCUACAUGAAUUUUAAACCAGUUAAGAACCUCUGACCAACAACAUUAAAAGGACAUUGGACCUUUUCUAGCAUGCAGAAGAAGAAAAGUAAAAGUUAUUAACAAUCUAUUCAUGUUCUCAUAAGGGAAAGAAUAUAGAGAUUCUAUCCAGAAAUACCCACAAAAUAAAGCAAAGCAUAGCAGACUAUACAUAUCAUUAUUGGAUGGCAAUAAAGACGGUCCAAACAACCUACAUCUUAGUUAGAGCAAAUGGUACAAUUAUAGACUGUACUUGUGAGUAAAUUAUACCCAAUGCAUAAUCAAGGAAACCAACAAUGUUUUGAUGAAUGCAUGACACUGAAUUGCCAUAAUUUCAAGCAUUUUUAGUUUCGCAAUUUUCAAAGAAUUAAUAAAAUACCAUUCUUUCUUUUUUGUUUCUUUUUCUACUAAUAAAGACUAGACAUCAG